GUAGGUGGCAAGCGUUGUCCGGAAUUAUUGGGCGUAAAGCGCGCGCAGGCGGUCCUUUAAGUCUGAUGUGAAAGCCCACGGGCUCAACCGUGGAGGGUCAUUGGAAACUGGGGGACUUGAGUACAGAAGAGGAAAGCGGAAUUCCACGUGUAGCGGUGAAAUGCGUAGAGAUGUGGAGGAACACCAGUGGCGAAGGCGGCUUUCUGGUCUGUAACUGACGCCGAGGCGCGAAAGCGUGGGGAGCAAACAGGAUUAGAUACCCUGGUAGUCCACGCCGUAAACGAUGAGUGCUAAGUGUUAGGGGGUUUCCGCCCCUUAGUGCUGCAGCUAACGCAUUAAGCACUCCGCCUGGGGAGUACGGCCGCAAAGGCUGA
RNAcentral lists this ribosomal RNA (374 nucleotides) under uncultured organism. Its description in RNAcentral is "partial 16S ribosomal RNA". It matches the Rfam family "Bacterial small subunit ribosomal RNA", at positions 527 to 897 of the family's 1533-position model. The record is from RNAcentral.